GAUUUAGCUGGCAGCACAUAUACUAAAAUUGGAAUGAUACAGAGAAGAUUAGCAUGGCCCCUGCGCAAGGAUGACAUGCAACUUCAUGAACAAGGGAGGCAUGAG
This is a small nuclear RNA of Gopherus evgoodei (Goodes thornscrub tortoise), 105 nucleotides long. Lineage: Eukaryota; Metazoa; Chordata; Testudines; Testudinidae. The record is from Ensembl.